AUUGAACGCUGGCGGCAUGCCUUACACAUGCAAGUCGAACGGUAACAGGUCUUCGGAUGCUGACGAGUGGCGAACGGGUGAGUAAUACAUCGGAACGUGCCCGAGAGUGGGGGAUAACGGAGCGAAAGCUUUGCUAAUACCGCAUACGAUCUACGGAUGAAAGCAGGGGACCGCAAGGCCUUGCGCUCAUGGAGCGGCCGAUGGCAGAUUAGGUAGUUGGUGGGAUAAAAGCUUACCAAGCCGACGAUCUGUAGCUGGUCUGAGAGGACGACCAGCCACACUGGGACUGAGACACGGCCCAGACUCCUACGGGAGGCAGCAGUGGGGAAUUUUGGACAAUGGGCGCAAGCCUGAUCCAGCCAUGCCGCGUGCAGGAUGAAGGCCUUCGGGUUGUAAACUGCUUUUGUACGGAACGAAAAGACUCUGGUUAAUACCUGGGGUCCAUGACGGUACCGUAAGAAUAAGCACCGGCUAACUACGUGCCAGCAGCCGCGGUAAUACGUAGGGUGCAAGCGUUAAUCGGAAUUACUGGGCGUAAAGCGUGCGCAGGCGGUUAUAUAAGACAGAUGUGAAAUCCCCGGGCUCAACCUGGGAACUGCAUUUGUGACUGUAUAGCUAGAGUACGGCAGAGGGGGAUGGAAUUCCGCGUGUA
Molecule: ribosomal RNA, 652 nt
Filed under: uncultured Acidovorax sp.
Lineage: Bacteria; Pseudomonadati; Pseudomonadota; Betaproteobacteria; Burkholderiales; Comamonadaceae
Description: bacterial SSU rRNA
Rfam family: Bacterial small subunit ribosomal RNA
Source: RNAcentral